CCUACGGGAGGCAGCAGUGGGGAAUCUUGCGCAAUGGGCGAAAGCCUGACGCAGCAACGCCGCGUGCGGGAAGAAGGCUUUCGGGCUGUAAACCGCUUUCAGCAGGAACGAAAAUGACGGUACCUGCAGAAGAAGGAGCGGCCAACUAUGUGCCAGCAGCCGCGGUGAUACAUAGGCUUCAAGCGUUGUCCGGAUUUAUUGGGCGUAAAGAGUUCGUAGGCGGUCAAGUAAGUCGGGUGUGAAAAUUCUGGGCUCAACCCAGAGACGCCACCCGAUACUGCUUAACUCGAGUUCGAUAGGGGAGUGGGGAAUUCCUAGUGUAGCGGUGAAAUGCGCAGAUAUUAGGAGGAACACCGGUGGCGAAGGCGCCACUCUGGAUCGAUACUGACGCUGAGGAACGAAAGCAUGGGUAGCAAACAGGAUUAGAUACCCUGGUAGUCCAUGCCGUAAACGGUGGGCACUAGGUGUGGGUUUCUAUUAACGAAAUCCGCGCCGUCGCUAACGCAUUAAGUGCCCCGCCUGGGGAGUACGGUCGCAAGACUAAAACUCAAAGGAAUUGACGG
Molecule: ribosomal RNA, 563 nt
Filed under: uncultured bacterium
Lineage: Bacteria
Description: bacterial SSU rRNA
Rfam family: Bacterial small subunit ribosomal RNA
Source: RNAcentral